This 419-nucleotide long non-coding RNA is filed under the name Gossypium barbadense (sea-island cotton). RNAcentral's name for it is "long non-coding RNA (GBAR_LNC021324)". The record is from RNAcentral. Lineage: Eukaryota; Viridiplantae; Streptophyta; Magnoliopsida; Malvales; Malvaceae.
AAAUGUAACAGCAGCAUGGUUGGCCAAUUUCCAAUACUCCUCCUUGGACUCCAUGCUGCAAAUACCAGUCAUUCAUCAAGUUUUUUUGAACUUGGCAGCUCUUAGAUGCUUUGAUUCAAGCUGACCAAUUCAUUUUCUUCUUGCACAAACAGUUCGUGAGUAUAGUUGCUUGCCUUCAUUCUGCCAUUUUGGCUUGCAAUUCGACAGGCUCACACUUUGCUUACUGUCUUCAAGAGGCUUGCAACUAUACAACACGCAUUGAGCUUCCACAUGUUGCUGAGCUCACACCUUUGACAGACUCACAUCUUUGCAUAUUGUCUUCAACAGGUGUCUUCAUCAGGCUCGCACUUUGCUAAGCUUGCAGCUUUGACAUCUUGCUAAGCUUGCACAUUUGGAAAGCUCACACCUUUCCUUUAAAC